Molecule: ribosomal RNA, 845 nt
Filed under: uncultured archaeon
Lineage: Archaea
Description: bacterial SSU rRNA
Rfam family: Archaeal small subunit ribosomal RNA
Source: RNAcentral
CUGACUGCUAUUGGAGUAGGACUAAGUCACGCUAGUCAAGGGUGCGGAAUGGAGCACCUGGCGUACGGCUCAGUAACACGUAGUCAACCUACCCUAAGGACGAGGACAACCACGGGAAACUGUGGAUAAUACUCGAUAAGAAAUUUGGCCUGGAACGGUAUCUUUCACAAAACCGGCUCGCCGUGAGACACGGGCCUUAGGAUGGGGCUGCGGCUGAUUAUGCUAGAUGGCGGUGUAAAGGACCACCAUGGCUACGAUCAGUAUGGGCGAUGGAAGUCGGAGCCCAGAGUCGGCUACUGAGACAAGGAGCCGAGCUUUACGAAGCUUAGCGGUCGCGAAAACUCGCCAAUGCACGAAAGUGUGAGUGGGCUACUCCAAGUGACAUUCUUACGGAUGUCUGUCGCUCAGUCUUACCAGCUGAGAAAGGAAGGAGAGGGCAAGGCUGGUGCCAGCCGCCGCGGUAAAACCAGCUCUUCGAGUGGUCAGGACGAAUAUUGGGUCUAAAGCGCUCGUAGCCGGACAAGUAGGUUCUUGGUUAAACCCGACAGCAUAACUGUUGGUCUGCUGGGAAUACCGCUAGUCUUGGAAGCGGGAGAGGACAGAGGUAGUCAUAGGGCAGGGGUGAAAUCCAGUGAACCUAUGGCGACCACCGAUGGCGAAGGCAUCUGUCUGGAACGUAUUCGACGGUGAGGGGCGAAAGCUAGGGGGGCGACCCGGAUUAGAUACCCGGUUAGUCCUAGCCGUAAACGAUGCGGACUAGGUGUUACAGCGGCCAAGAGCCACUGUAGUGCCACAGUGAAGACGUUAAGUCCGCCACCUGGGGAGUACGGAUGCAAGUCUGAAAC